This 22-nucleotide non-coding RNA is filed under the name Arabidopsis thaliana (thale cress). Lineage: Eukaryota; Viridiplantae; Streptophyta; Magnoliopsida; Brassicales; Brassicaceae. The record is from RNAcentral.
UAUGGAUGAUUGUGCUAAGUGU